RNAcentral lists this ribosomal RNA (253 nucleotides) under uncultured bacterium. Its description in RNAcentral is "partial 16S ribosomal RNA". It matches the Rfam family "Bacterial small subunit ribosomal RNA", at positions 524 to 776 of the family's 1533-position model. The record is from RNAcentral.
UACGUAGGGUGCGGGCGUUAAUCGGAAUUACUGGGCGUAAAGCGUGCGCAGGCGGUUUUAUAAGACAGAUUUGAAAUCCCCCGGCUCAACCCGGGACCUGCAUUUGUGACUGUAUAGCUAGAGUACGGUAGAGGGGGAUGGAAUUCCGCGUGUAGCAGUGAAAUGCGUAGAUAUGCGGAGGAACACCGAUGGCGAAGGCAAUCCCCUGGACCUGUACUGACGCUCAUGCACGAAAGCGUGGGGAGCAACCAGG